GUUACUUAGUAGCUUUAAUGAGUGCCCUCUUUAUUCUAUAGGCAGUAGUGUCAGUUAGUAAUUGUUAUUUGAUAACGGUGGGGAAAGAUAUUGGGUUUAUAUUUCUGGUAUUUACUUAGUAUAAACUUGUAAAAGUUUUAAUUUUCCAUGCAUAUGAUUUUUGUUGAUUUCAUUAUUAUUUCUAGGUAACGUUUCAUUUUUAGGUCAUUCCUCAUUACAAGAUGUAGAAGCAAACCACCCAGCAUACUUUCAGCUCUCUCAUUCUGUUGACGGGAAUCUUCUAUCAACUGUUAGCGAGGUUUCUAAUAGUAAAAGCACAGUUGAUACUA
Molecule: long non-coding RNA, 329 nt
Organism: Ipomoea nil (Japanese morning glory)
Lineage: Eukaryota; Viridiplantae; Streptophyta; Magnoliopsida; Solanales; Convolvulaceae
Exons: 3
Source: RefSeq, a predicted model, not a curated record